GGGGUUGUGGCUCAGUGGUAGAGAGCUCGCUUCGCACAUGCGAGACUCUGGGUUUGAUCCUCAGCACCACA
Molecule: transfer RNA, 71 nt
Filed under: Marmota monax (woodchuck)
Lineage: Eukaryota; Metazoa; Chordata; Mammalia; Rodentia; Sciuridae
Description: tRNA.Ala
Source: RNAcentral